This 380-nucleotide ribosomal RNA is filed under the name uncultured eukaryote. RNAcentral describes it as "partial 18S ribosomal RNA". It matches the Rfam family "Eukaryotic small subunit ribosomal RNA", at positions 592 to 976 of the family's 1831-position model. The record is from RNAcentral.
CAAUAGCGUAUAUUAAAGUUGUUGCAGCUAAAAAGCUCGUAGUUGGAUUUGUGGCGUACGGUGUGUUCCGGGCACUUGUUGUCUGAGUAACCUGCUGUUGCCAUCCUUGGGUGGAACCUGUGUGGCAUUAGGUUGUCGUGCAGGGGAUGCCCACCAUUUACUGUGAAAAAAUUAGAGUGUUCAAAGCAGGCUUAUGCCGUUGAAUAUAUUAGCAUGGAAUAAUGAGAUAGGACUUUUUUGCUAUUUUGUUGGUUUGCGCAAAGAGGUAAUGAUUAAUAGGGACAGUUGGGGGUAUUCGUAUUCCAUUGUCAGAGGUGAAAUUCUUGGAUUUUUGGAAGACGAACUACUGCGAAAGCAUUUACCAAGGAUGUUUUCAUUAA